This 492-nucleotide ribosomal RNA is filed under the name uncultured bacterium. Its description in RNAcentral is "partial 16S ribosomal RNA". It matches the Rfam family "Bacterial small subunit ribosomal RNA", at positions 29 to 507 of the family's 1533-position model. The record is from RNAcentral.
AUUGAACGCUGGCGGCAUGCUUUACACAUGCAAGUCGAACGGUAACAGGCCUUCGGGUGCUGACGAGUGGCGAACGGGUGAGUAAUGCAUCGGAACGUACCCAGGGGUGGGGGAUAACGCAGCGAAAGCUGUGCUAAUACCGCAUGUGAUCUGAGGAUGAAAGCGGGGGACCGAGCAGCAAUGUUUGGCCUCGCGCCUUUGGAGCGGCCGAUGUCGGAUUAGCUAGUUGGUGGGGUAAAGGCCUACCAAGGCGACGAUCCGUAGCUGGUCUGAGAGGACGACCAGCCACACUGGGACUGAGACACGGCCCAGACUCCUACGGGAGGCAGCAGUGGGGAAUUUUGGACAAAGGGCGCAAGCCUGAUCCAGCAAUGCCGCGUGCGGGAAGAAGGCCUUCGGGUUGUAAACCGCUUUUGGCAGGAACGAAACGGUGUCCGCUAAUACCGGGCGCUAAUGACGGUACCUGCAGAAUAAGCACCGGCUAACUACGUG